RNAcentral lists this ribosomal RNA (433 nucleotides) under uncultured bacterium. RNAcentral's name for it is "partial 16S ribosomal RNA". It matches the Rfam family "Bacterial small subunit ribosomal RNA", at positions 29 to 507 of the family's 1533-position model. The record is from RNAcentral.
AACGAACGCUGGCGGCAUGCCUAACACAUGCAAGUCGAACGAGACCUUCGGGUCUAGUGGUGCACGGGUGCGUAACGCGUGGGAACCUGCCCUUAGGUUCGGAAUAACUCACCGAAAGGGGUGCUAAUACCGGAUAAUGUCUUCGGACCAAAGAUUUAUAGCCUUUGGAUGGGUGCGUGUUGGAUUAGUUGGUUGGUAGGGUAAAAGCAUACCAACGCGACGAUCCAUAGCUGGUCUGAGAGGAUGCUACACCAGGCUGGGACUGAGGCCCGGCCCACACUCCGACGGGAGGGUGGAGUAGGGUAUAUUAGGCACUGGGCGAAAGCCUGACCCAGCCGUGCCGCGUGAGUGAUGCAGGCCUUAGGGUUGCAAAGCUCUUUUACCAGAGAUGAUAAUGACAGUACCGGGAGAAGAAGCUCCGGCUAACUACGUG